RNAcentral lists this ribosomal RNA (497 nucleotides) under uncultured bacterium. RNAcentral's name for it is "partial 16S ribosomal RNA". It matches the Rfam family "Bacterial small subunit ribosomal RNA", at positions 28 to 507 of the family's 1533-position model. The record is from RNAcentral.
GAUGAACGCUGGCGGCGUGCCUAAUACAUGCAAGUCGAGCGAACGGACGAGAAGCUUGCUUCUCUGAUGUUAGCGGCGGACGGGUGAGUAACACGUGGAUAACCUACCUAUAAGACUGGGAUAACUUCGGGAAACCGGAGCUAAUACCGGAUGAUAUUUUGAACCGCAUGGUUCAAAAGUGAAAGACGGUCUUGCUGUCACUUAUAGAUGGAUCCGCGCUGCAUUAGCUAGUUGGUAAGGUAACGGCUUACCAAGGCAACGAUGCAUAGCCGACCUGAGAGGGUGAUCGGCCACACUGGAACUGAGACACGGUCCAGACUCCUACGGGAGGCAGCAGUAGGGAAUCUUCCGCAAUGGGCGAAAGCCUGACGGAGCAACGCCGCGUGAGUGAUGAAGGUCUUCGGAUCGUAAAACUCUGUUAUUAGGGAAGAGCAUAUGUGUAAGUAACUGUGCACACCUUGACGGUACCUAAUCAGAAAGCCACGGCUAACUACGUG